CCUACGGGGGGCUGCAGUGAGGAAUAUUGGUCAAUGGGCGCGAGCCUGAACCAGCCAAGUCGCGUGAGGGAGUACUGCCCUAUGGGUUGUAAACCUCUUUUGUCGGGGAGCAAAAGCCGGACGUGUCCGGCUGUGAGAGUACCCGAAGCAAAAGCAUCGGCUAACUCCGUGCAAGAAGCCGCGGUAAUACGGAGGCUGCGAGGUUUAUCCGGAUUUAUUGGGGUUAAAGGGUGCGCAGGCGGAUUUUUAAGUCAGCGGUCAAAUCGUGGGGCUCAACCCCAUCCAGCCGUUGAAACUGGGGAUCUAGAGUGUGCGAGAGGUAUGUGGAAGGCGUGGUGUAGCGGUGAAAUGCAUAGAUAUCACGCAGAACCCCGAUUGCGAAGGCAGCAUACCGGUGCACAACUGACGCUCAGGCACGAAAGCGUGGGUAUCGAACAGGAUUAGAUACCCGGGUAGUC
This 458-nucleotide ribosomal RNA is filed under the name uncultured bacterium. Its description in RNAcentral is "partial 16S ribosomal RNA". It matches the Rfam family "Bacterial small subunit ribosomal RNA", at positions 338 to 795 of the family's 1533-position model. The record is from RNAcentral.